AUCAACAAGAGAACAAAGAGUGUACAAUCCAAAAUCUCAGCUAAAAAGAGAAAGUAUCACAACUGUAGUUCUCAAACCACAAAGUAAAUAUAUAUCACUGGUAUACAAAAGUAGAUACAAUGGAAGUCUCUCUAUACAUAGGGACAUCACCCUCGGCCGUAGCCCGAGUAGCAAGGUGAUCGACUAGCAUGCUCCUAGCAAUGUCUAGCUAGACGCGACUCCCUUGCCACGAUCCCUAACCUCUCCUGUAGAUGGCUCUGUAAAAACAACCACCAAAAGGGCGUGAGAACUAUUAACAAUAGUUCCCAGUGGGUAAGCCGCCAGCCUCGGCGAAUUACACCACUAGGCUCAUGAUGUACUAAAUGAAAGCAAAAGCAAUAAUUGCAUGAUGUAUAUAANUAAAACCUAAUUAUAUUGUUCUUUUAUGCCCCGAGAGUGUAAAUUUCGACCGAAUCGAUGUCAACCACCACAAGAACCAAAACCGGAACAACAAUAGACUACUAAGUUGCGCCCUAACAGUAUAAAUUUGCAACGAGUACUUUUUCUCAUUCUAUCGAAAAAAGAGUAAAGCCUAUUUAUAUUAUUCUAUUAUGCCCCGAGAGUGUAAAUUUGGAACGAAUCGAUGUCAACAUUCACAAGAACCAAAACCGGAACAACAGUUGACUACUUAGUUGCGCCCUAACAGUAUAACUUUGCAACGAGUAUGUCACGCCCGGAUACCAGCGGAAGCAUAUCCGGCACGUGCACAGACCCGCCAUACACCUGCAGUAUAUAAGGCGUCUACAAGAAGCAAGUCGAUAGGAAGUAAAACAAGAAGUCCUAUCCUGAUAUCAGAGCAAAGUACAAGUCGAUAUACAACAAGUAUCAAAUCCAAGUCAAAAUACAAAGAGUAUACAAUCCAGGAUCUCAACAAAAGGAGAAGUAACACCACUAAUCUCAACCCCGAAAGUAAGAUAUACAUCAUGGGUAUACAAAAAGAAUAGAUACAAUGGUGGUCUCUCUAUAUACAUAUAUGGACAUCACCCUCGGCCGUAGCCCGAGUAGCAAGGUGAUCGACUAGCACGCUCCUAGUAGUCCCUAGCUAGGCGCGACUCCCUUGCCUCGAUCCCUGGCCUCUCCUGUAACAGGCUCAGUAAAAACAACCACCAGAAGGGCGUGAGAACUAUUAACAAUAGUUCCCAGUGGGUAAGCCGCCAGCCUCGGCGAAUUACACCACUAGGCUCAUGAUGUACUAAAUGAAAGCAAAAGCAAUAAUUGCAUGAUGUAUAUAAGGCCAACAGGUAAUGAGCAUGUAAGCAACAUGUAAUCAUAAUCUCAACAGUAAUGAAUCAACUGAUUAAUAGAAGCAUAGCAACUACUAUAAGCAUAAACAUAAGCAUAAAUGUGUAAGUAACUACUGUACACUGUAGCUGGUAAUCAUUCAUUACUGCCCAAUUUCCUUUAGCUCUUUCCUUUCAUUCACAGGGAUCUACUCAAGGUAGUCCAGCUUGCGCCGCGCCUAAUUGCCCCGUGGUGGUAUACACUCCCCACGGCAAUCCACUUCGGCACCCAAUCCCGCACGGGCGAGCAACUGUCGCGUAGGCCAACUCCGGAGUGCCGGCUUGUAGGGAGCUACCCUCACAAGCAUGUGCGAAUGAGCACGAUGGCAAGCAAGCAUAUUCCACAGUUCAACAUGUCUCAAUUAUCGCAUUUUAGCUCACAAUAUUCUCGCUCUCGAUCCUUUGAUCGGAAUUUCAAUAUAACCAAUAUUGA
Molecule: long non-coding RNA, 1752 nt
Filed under: Ananas comosus (pineapple)
Lineage: Eukaryota; Viridiplantae; Streptophyta; Magnoliopsida; Poales; Bromeliaceae
Description: long non-coding RNA (ACOM_LNC035775)
Source: RNAcentral